Molecule: long non-coding RNA, 530 nt
Organism: Myotis brandtii (Brandt's bat)
Lineage: Eukaryota; Metazoa; Chordata; Mammalia; Chiroptera; Vespertilionidae
Exons: 4
Source: RefSeq, a predicted model, not a curated record
CUCAACCAAGGCAGGAAAAAAAAGAAGAAAGAAAGAAAAACAGCAAAUUUUGGAGCCAACAUCCUUUAAGUGAGAUGAAUGACAGCAGAAGAUCAAGAGUGAUAUUCUCCUUUCUUGUAAAAUUUUGGCUAUUUCAGAAGGUUUACAGGGAAGAAAGCAAGAGUCUCUUUCCCAGAAGCCCCAGGAAAAGAACACGUCUUCACUGGUUUCAGAAUGUUCCUCAUACCCACCCUGGAACUUGUAGAGAAAUCUAUACAUUGGAAGUAGAAGCAUCCCCUCCCAACUAGGUAAAUAAGUACCAUCCCUUCAUUUUCCCACUUCUGUGACUGCCUGGCACGCAGAUAUGAAGGUGGAGCUGAAGCAGCCACUCUGUGAUCAUGUGAUAACAGCAUGAAGAUCAGAAGAGCAAAGACUCUUGUUUGUGUGAAUCUUCUCUGAAUGCCCAGCCCUUAAAACAUAGGAGAUGUAAAGUACGAGAAAUAUGCACCUAUCUAUUGAAUGAAUGAAUGUUCACUAAUAAACCAGAUCUG